CUAUGGCACCAGUCAUGCAAAGCUCUCAGCCAUGGGUCGAGAAAUAUCGACCGAAGCAAGUGAAGGAUGUAGCUCACCAGGAUGAGGUCGUUCGAGUCCUCACCAACACUCUCGAGACCACUAACUGCCCGCAUAUGUUGUUUUAUGGUCCUCCUGGAACCGGAAAGACGACCACAGCUCUUGCCAUUGCCCAUCAGCUUUUCGG
Molecule: long non-coding RNA, 205 nt
Organism: Solanum verrucosum
Lineage: Eukaryota; Viridiplantae; Streptophyta; Magnoliopsida; Solanales; Solanaceae
Exons: 3
Source: RefSeq, a predicted model, not a curated record